GAUGAACGCUGGCGGCGUGCCUAAUACAUGCAAGUCGAGCGAACGGACGAGAAGCUUGCUUCUCUGAUGUUAGCGGCGGACGGGUGAGUAACACGUGGAUAACCUACCUAUAAGACUGGGAUAACUUCGGGAAACCGGAGCUAAUACCGGAUAAUAUUUUGAACCGCAUGGUUCAAAAGUGAAAGACGGUCUUGCUGUCACUUAUAGAUGGAUCCGCGCUGCAUUAGCUAGUUGGUAAGGUAACGGCUUACCAAGGCAACGAUGCAUAGCCGACCCGAGAGGGUGAUCGGCCACACUGGAACUGAGACACGGUCCAGACUCCUACGGGAGGCAGCAGUAGGGAAUCUUCCGCAAUGGGCGAAAGCCUGACGGAGCAACGCCGCGUGAGUGAUGAAGGUCUUCGGAUCGUAAAACUCUGUUAUUAGGGAAGAACAUAUGUGUAAGUAACUGUGCACAUCUUGACGGUACCUAAUCAGAAAGCCAUGGCUAACUACGUG
This 497-nucleotide ribosomal RNA is filed under the name uncultured bacterium. RNAcentral's name for it is "partial 16S ribosomal RNA". It matches the Rfam family "Bacterial small subunit ribosomal RNA", at positions 28 to 507 of the family's 1533-position model. The record is from RNAcentral.